GACGAACGCUGGCGGCGUGCCUAAUACAUGCAAGUUGAGCGCUGAAGGUUGGUACUUGUACCAACUGGAUUAGCAGCGAACGGGUGAGUAACGCGUGGGGAAUCUGCCUUUGAGCGUGGGACAACAUUUGGAAACGAAUGCUAAUACCGCAUAAAAACUUUAAACACAAGUUUUAAGAUUGAAAGAUGCAAUUGCAUCACUCAAAGAUGAUCCCGCGUUGUAUUAGCUAGUUGGUGAGGGUAAGGCUCUCCAAGGCGAUGAUACAUAGCCGACCCGAGAGGGUGGUCGGCCCCAACGGGAAUGGGGCCACGCCCAAACCCCUAAGGGAGGCAGCCGUAGGGGAACUUCGGCCAUGGGCGGAAGUCUUGACGGGGCACGCCGCGGUAGGGAAGGAGGUUCUCCGGACGUUAAACCCUGUUUGUAGGGAAGAACGAUGGUGGGAGGGAACAGCGCAUCAAGUGACGGUACCUACCCAGAAAGGCACGGCUAACUACGUG
Molecule: ribosomal RNA, 497 nt
Filed under: uncultured bacterium
Lineage: Bacteria
Description: partial 16S ribosomal RNA
Rfam family: Bacterial small subunit ribosomal RNA
Source: RNAcentral